GACUUAUCUAUUCCAGCUGCCUGUCCUGUCUCUGCUCCCUUCCAUUACUACUGAGCUGGCCCUUCUCUACCUCCCAACAUGAUGCCCUCACUCACCUUCAGGGGCCACCCAGGCAGGUGCAUACAUGCGCCCAGGGCAUUGGAAGGAGAACUUGACGUCGGCCAUGCUGAUUCGGGCAGUCAUGUCCUCAUCAAUCUGAGGAAGAGAAGAUAGAUAUGUGGAAGGAGGUAAGUCCUAUUCUAGACAGCGAAAGGGCUCUGGGGGCAUGGGCCAGGAGUGAAGUGUGACCUUACCAUUACACUACGGCUGUUGAGUGCAUGUCGUGGGAUGAGGGGCUCUAGAGUGUGUAGGAAGGCCAUGCCCCUUGCCAUGUCCAAUGCAAACUUCACAGCCUGGCUCUGGUCCACAACAAAAUCUAAGGAGGCAAGAGUUAAAUAGUUUGGAAAGGCUCACACACCCUGCCCCCAUCCCUUGAGAUUUGGCAUCCCCUACUCACUGGUGCCUUCAUGUAACACAUUGUACAAGGAUCCAUAUGGCAUCCAGUGUGUGAUGAGGGUGGGGUGUGGAGCAGGUGGAGACUGACAGGCACCUAGCACUGGGAGCACAUUCGGAUGCGAGAAAAUCCUGGAAGAGGGAGAGUAUCCCUAGCUGAGAUCAGCAUAAAAGAUCUCCCUUUGGGUGCUAUUCCGGGUUCUUCAGAACCAGCAGCUUCCCAUUUAGGCCCUGCCGCACCUGAGCCGGGGACACUCCUCAUUGAAGUCCCUGCUCUUCCUUGUACUCCAGUCUCGAACCUUUAGCACCUUCACGACGAUGUCAUUGCCCUGCCAACGGCCCUUCCAUAGCUGAGAGACAAGUAAGGUUUAGGAGGCUUUAACUAAGGCCACUGCUUUCUUGUCCACUUACCGGAGGAAAAGCUUAAGGCAGGUGAAGAGCAGGUAAUUGGUUAGGGGUUGGGGAGGGAGGGGCAAGAAGGGCAGGGUCACCUCUCCAGAGUGAUUCUCGUUGAGCUUCGCCAGGAAGUUGAGCUGUUUGAAGUCAAUGCCCGAGUGUUUGUUCAGAGUCCCAUUUCCUGAGAGUGUGGGCAGGUCAGGUACCCAAGCUUCCCCCUAACCCAGCCCCAGGAGCUCAAGGUUAUUCCCUCAACCACCCCUCCCCUCCCCUUACAGCUGACUCACGGGGCCGAGUGCGGGUGGUCCCCUUCCAGAAUGUGUCCUUGUAUGGAAUACGGUUAAGAUUCUGGCCCAUCUUCUCUGCCCGUUCUGGGGAAGAAAAACAAUUUUCGCUUCAGUUGUAGUAUGAUGGGGCGAGGAUAUAGGUGGGGGGACAAGACAAGAGGGUACAAACUGGGGGUGGGGGACAGACCUCGGAGGAGCUCUCUCAGGGGUGCCUUGGCUUUGUCCACAGGCAUCUCUCCAUACUUGUUACAAAUGCUGACAAGGGCCCCAUUAGCCACUAGGUCCUAGAAUGAAAAGGUGGUUGUGAUGAG
RNAcentral lists this long non-coding RNA (1486 nucleotides) under Lynx pardinus (Iberian lynx). The record is from RNAcentral. Lineage: Eukaryota; Metazoa; Chordata; Mammalia; Carnivora; Felidae.